Molecule: ribosomal RNA, 253 nt
Filed under: uncultured bacterium
Lineage: Bacteria
Description: partial 16S ribosomal RNA
Rfam family: Bacterial small subunit ribosomal RNA
Source: RNAcentral
UACGGAGGGUGCAAGCGUUGUUCGGAAUCAUUGGGCGUAAAGCGUGCGCAGGCGGUUAUGUAAGACAGGUGUGAAAUCCCCGGGCUUAACCUGGGAAUUGCAUUUGUGACUGCAUGGCUAGAGUGUGUCAGAGGGGGGUAGAAUUCCACGUGUAGCAGUGAAAUGCGUAGAUAUGUGGAGGAAUACCGAUGGCGAAGGCAGCCCCCUGGGAUAACACUGACGCUCAUGCACGAAAGCGUGGGGAGCAAACAGG